UCCAGCCCUCUCCUCACCCUCCAGCCCUCUCCUCAACCCCCAGUCCUCCCCUCACCCUCCAACAUACACAUACAUGUCAAACUAUUUAACAGGGGAGAUCUGCCGGGAGGAGGAGGAGGAAGUAUGUAUGUAAAUAUGAUUUGCUGUAUGUGUUAAUUUAUAGAAGAUCCUGCUCAGGCAUUUGAAACCGUCAGCAAGGUCCCUGUGUGAGAGGGUUAACUGUGCUUCAUGCAGAAUGGUCCCUGUGUGAGAGGGUUAACUGUGCUUCAUGCAGCAAGGUCCCUGUGUGAGAGGGUUAACUGUGCUUCAUGCAGAAUGGUCCCUGUGUGAGAGGGUUAACUGUGCUUCAUGCAGCAAGGUCCCUGUGUGAGAGGGUUAACUGUGCUUCAUGCAGCAAGGUCCCUGUGUGAGAGGGUUAACUGUGCUUCAUGCUUGAUGAAUGCUGACUGCAGCCUAGUUCUUGUUCCACACAUGUAUGUAAGAAUGUGUUACAUUUGUCCUCUCAUUCAUGAAAAAACCCCAAGAGCUUCUGUUGUUGAAGAGGAGAUGCAGAGAACAUGACAAAUAUGCAUUUAUAGUUAUUUAACACUGUAUAGUCACAUCCAGCUCUAUUUAUCCUGAUCUGGUCGGACACACACACACACGGACACACACGGACACACACACACACACACGGACACACACACACACACGGACGAACGUCAAGCUGACAGGAGGUGAACCAGUCUCAAUGCAACUCCAAAUAAACCAUGUGUAAAUAC
Long non-coding RNA from Hypomesus transpacificus, 761 nucleotides. RefSeq lists it as uncharacterized. The record is from RefSeq and is a predicted model, not a curated record. Lineage: Eukaryota; Metazoa; Chordata; Actinopteri; Osmeriformes; Osmeridae. The transcript is spliced from 2 exons.